Molecule: ribosomal RNA, 969 nt
Filed under: Triticum aestivum (bread wheat)
Lineage: Eukaryota; Viridiplantae; Streptophyta; Magnoliopsida; Poales; Poaceae
Description: partial small subunit ribosomal RNA
Source: RNAcentral
AUGUCAGCUCAAGAAUUGAGGAUGAUUCCAAUUACUUGGUCGUUUGUAGUGCGGGGGAUUGAUAUGGUUGGGCCUUUUAAAAGGUCCAAGGACAAAAAGACCCACCUUUUGGUGGCGGUUGACAAAUUCACAAAAUGGGUCGAAGCAGAACCAGUCAAUAAGUGUGACACGGCGACAGCGGUUCAAUUCAUCAAAAAGGUGAUUUUUCGCUUUGGUUUUCCCCACGGCAUUAUAACUGAUAAUGGCACUAAUCUGUCCAAGGGUGCUAUGAAAGAGUUUUGUCAACGUGAGCAUAUUCGACUUCACAUAUCGUCAGUAGCUCACCGCCAAUCCAAUGGUCAAGCUGAAAGAGCCAAUCAAGAAAUUUUGAGAUGCAUCAAGCCCCGGCUUAUGGUUCCUUUGCAGAGGACGCCAGGUUGUUGGGUGGAGGAGUUACCUUCAGCGCUAUGGAGUAUCAAUACUACCCCCAACGGAUCUACGGGUUACAUGCCUUUCUUCAUGGUUUACGAAGCAGAGGCGGUUCUCCCUACUGACAUCCAUCACGACUCGCCCCGCGUGGCAGCAUAUGUUGAAGAUGAUAAUGAAAAAGCACGUCAGGAUGCACUUGACCUGUUAGAUGAGGAGCGUGACCUUGCAGUGGCUCGCUCGGCGAUUUACCAACAAGAUCUGCACCAUUAUCAUAGCCGCCGGGUUAAGACCAGAACCUUUCAAGAAUGUGACUUGGUGCUCCGGCUUAUCAAGGAUCAAACUGAUAUGCACAAAUUAUCCCCACCUUGGGAAGGUCCCUUUGUGGUCAGCAAGAAUUUGAGCAAUAGGUCAUACUACCUUAUCGAUAUUCGAGACCACAAGGACUCACGUAAGUCGGAGGAAGAGACUCGCCGACCGUGGAAUAUUGCUCAUCUUCAGCCUUACUACACUUCAGCCACCGGCUCUUACAAUGUACAUAUUUUGAAAAAGUAUAUAUUAUGA